Molecule: long non-coding RNA, 2104 nt
Organism: Patella vulgata (common limpet)
Lineage: Eukaryota; Metazoa; Mollusca; Gastropoda; Patellidae
Exons: 2
Source: RefSeq, a predicted model, not a curated record
GAGGAAAUUAUCAUUUACAACUUUGGAAAAUUUCUGAAGAGAGUUCAAAAUGGUAAAGUAUGCACCCCGUGGGUUGACCUCAUAACUGAGCAAGAAGAAGACGUUGUUCUAAACACGGGUCAUAUACUACAGGCGUUGUUGGGGAGUCCAUUCAUUCCCCGAAAUUUCCCCAGUGGUCUGAUCAUAUUUGACCACAACUCGAAUGAAAUCACACAUGUUAACACAUGUGCACCAUCCAUCACUUUUUCGAACUUAAAUUCUUUAAGAAAUUAUAAAAAUUUAACAGAAAUGCUGAUAAACGUUAUUGUGUGUGCGUACGGAUUUGGUACUUGUUAACUCUUCAAACGCCAGAUUGUUUUAAUUUUCGUACCCUGAAACGCCACGGGGAAAUGCUUUUCAAAGUCAAAAUUAUUUAAACCGUGAAAAAGAAACCACUAUAUUUUUUUCAAUGUAACGAAAGCCCUGAUAGUUAUCUUCUCAACCAUGUGUCGCGUUUGUGUGCAAACUAUAUUCAACACGAGUUACACGACUUUGUUACAUGGUACCUGCUUGUCACAUUUAUGCGACUGUGGCGUUUGAGCGUGCAGUCGCAUAAAUGCGACUAUGGCGUUUGAAGGGUUCAUGAGUCCAUAAGAUAAUUUUCCUUUGAGAUAUCGCAUCCAAGUUAGAUAUCGCAUCCAUCGUUUAGUUUACAUUUGGCUCGUACUUACUCAACAGGCUACAUUUUUUCAUGGAUUCCUUUGAGUUUUAUUUUGUGUCUUAGAUCAUUCCCUUAAUACUGAAAUUGUUUUUUGGAGAGUGAGCUGAAGCCAAAUGUGAAUGGAUGGGUGACUUGUGCUCACUAUCAAGCUGGUGGUGAGCAUCCGCUUGAGUGGCUUGCCGCAAGCUUAUGUUCACAUUUGGCUCGUGCUCACUCUACAGGCUACAAUUUUUUAUGAAUACUUUUUAGUUAUAUAUUUCAAGUCAAUAUCAUUUUGAAGAUGAUCCCUAUUAAUUUUGGUGACGAUGCGAUAACUUUUCUCCGAAUAAUGGCAUCAAAUUCAUAAAAUGCAUUCAUUUCCAUACGCCCACAAGAUAGUAUGCGUAUAUAUUGUAAAGGCCCUAUCGGUCCGUCCACGUUUACCUCAUGCUCACUCUACAGGCUAUAAUUCUUCAUCGAUUCUUUUGAGAUUUAUUGUGUGUGUCAAUAGCAUUAUGAAAAGGAUCCCUAUUGAAUUUGGUGAUGAUCCGAUAAUUUAUCUCGGAGAUAUCGCAUCAAACUCUAAUUUCGCAUUUGUUUCUGAACGACCACACGUAAAUGUGGGCGUAUAUUGUAAUCACCCCUGUCCGUCCGUCGGUCUCUUCACAUUUACCUUGUGCUCACUCUUCAUGGAUUCUUUUGAGAUUUAUUGUGUGUGUCAAUGUCAUCAUAAAGAUGAUCCCUAUUGAUUUUGGUGACAAUCCGAUAAUUCGACAUCGAUAUUCAUAACUUGAGUUAUUGCCCUUGCUUAAAAAUUCACAAGAUCUUGGAAGAGUUCGAAUUUGAACACGAUUCUACAAAUAUUUUCGGAGUUACUGCUCUUGAUAUACAAAAAAUACGUUAAAAGUGACUUGUGAGAGCAAUAGAGGCCACAGUUUUUGUCAGAUUUUUAUAAAAAUUUGGUGUGUAGAUUUAUAUCCACAAGAUCUCAGAUGAGUAGUUCGAAUCUGAACACGAUUCGACACUAUUUUCAGAGUUAAGGCCCUUGAUAUACCAAAAAUGUCCAAAGUGGCAUGUGAAUGCAUUAAAGGCCACAGUUUUUGUCCGAUUUUUAUUAAAUUUGGUGUGUAGGUUUGUAUCCACAAGAUCUCGGACGAGUUCGAAUCUGAUAUAUUCUGAAAGUGGGCGUAUCUUGCAUGGCAACCGCUUGUUUAAGAUGAGAUGCUUGGCCAUAAUUUCCCGUUUGUAUUUUAGAUUAUUUAGAACAAACAUUGCAUAAUUAAAACUUAUUGUUUAUUAAAUUAAUUUCAAUAAGAAUAUUGUAGACAUGUUCUUUCCAAAUAUACCUUAUUUCACAAACCUUUUUCUAUACAAAGUUACAUACCUGCAUGUUGAUUUGAAAUUUGAAUUAAAGUUAUAUGUACA